Molecule: ribosomal RNA, 486 nt
Filed under: uncultured organism
Description: bacterial SSU rRNA
Rfam family: Bacterial small subunit ribosomal RNA
Source: RNAcentral
AUUGAACGCUGGCGGCGUGCUUUACACAUGCAAGUCGAGCGGCAGCACGACCUUCGGGUUGGUGGCGAGCGGCGAACGGGUGAGUAAUACAUCGGAACGUACCUUUUAGUUGGGGAUAACGCAUCGAAAGAUGUGCUAAUACCGAAUAAUCUCUGAGGAGGAAAGGCGGGGAUCGGAAACGACCUGUCGCUGAAAGAGCGGCCGAUGGCCGAUUAGCUAGUUGGCGGGGUAAAGGCCCACCAAGGCGAUGAUCGGUAGCUGUUCUGAGAGGAAGAUCAGCCACACUGGGACUGAGACACGGCCCAGACUCCUACGGGAGGCAGCAGUGGGGAAUUUUGGACAAUGGGGGCAACCCUGAUCCAGCAACGCCGCGUGAAUGAAGAAGGCCUUAGGGUUGUAAAGUUCUUUUGUCAGGGAAGAAAAGGCUUGUGCUAAUAUCACAAGCUGCUGACGGUACCUGAAGAAUAAGCACCGGCUAACUACGUG